Long non-coding RNA from Bos taurus (domestic cattle), 356 nucleotides. The record is from Ensembl. NCBI's taxonomy places the organism in Eukaryota, Metazoa, Chordata, Mammalia, Artiodactyla, Bovidae.
CUCGAGGGUCCCGGGACGCGGCUUCAGAAAGAGGAAGCCCGGGAAACCGGUUUCCGCGUUGCAGCUGCUAUCCAGCGCUCCCUGGCCGGUCCCAGAACCGAGACCUGGGCGCUAGGUGCAGCUGCUCUGCGGUGCCCGCUGCUGUGUGGGCGCCUGUACGUCAGUCAGGGCAGGCGGCGCCGGGAGCGGACCGAGGGCUGCCCGGCGGAAGGGCUCUGUCCGCGGCUGCGGGCCUUAAGAACGUGCGGGCCGCCUCCGUUGUGGGCCUCCCGGUCCCACCACUGAUACACAACCGUUCCAGUUUCUCCACAUCUUGGCCCACACUUGCAGCUUUCUGCUUUAUUUUUUCAUGAGAG